AAUGCGUGUUCAGUCAAAUAAUUUUGUUUUUGUUUUCAUUACCGCUUUGAUUACGAAAACAUCCGUUUAUUUUGAUAAGAAUAUUUGCAUUUUGAAACAUGGAGGUCCCUUCCGAUGCAUGCUUAUAAGAUUGAAAUCUGGAAAUCUUAUUCGGAAGUUUGAGUGACCAAGAUGUUGAAGUGUUGGCACGCCGGGGGCACG
Molecule: long non-coding RNA, 201 nt
Filed under: Lathyrus oleraceus (garden pea)
Lineage: Eukaryota; Viridiplantae; Streptophyta; Magnoliopsida; Fabales; Fabaceae
Description: Pisum sativum (pea) long non-coding RNA (PSAT_LNC041035)
Source: RNAcentral